This 483-nucleotide unclassified non-coding RNA is filed under the name Candida albicans. RNAcentral's name for it is "sequence contains 18S rRNA gene, ITS1, 5.8S rRNA gene, ITS2, 28S rRNA gene". The stretch from base 156 to 309 matches the Rfam family "5.8S ribosomal RNA". Lineage: Eukaryota; Fungi; Ascomycota; Pichiomycetes; Serinales; Debaryomycetaceae. The record is from RNAcentral.
UGCGGAAGGAUCAUUACUGAUUUGCUUAAUUGCACCACAUGUGUUUUUCUUUGAAACAAACUUGCUUUGGCGGUGGGCCCAGCCUGCCGCCAGAGGUCUAAACUUACAACCAAUUUUUUAUCAACUUGUCACACCAGAUUAUUACUAAUAGUCAAAACUUUCAACAACGGAUCUCUUGGUUCUCGCAUCGAUGAAGAACGCAGCGAAAUGCGAUACGUAAUAUGAAUUGCAGAUAUUCGUGAAUCAUCGAAUCUUUGAACGCACAUUGCGCCCUCUGGUAUUCCGGAGGGCAUGCCUGUUUGAGCGUCGUUUCUCCCUCAAACCGCUGGGUUUGGUGUUGAGCAAUACGACUUGGGUUUGCUUGAAAGACGGUAGUGGUAAGGCGGGAUCGCUUUGACAAUGGCUUAGGUCUAACCAAAAACAUUGUUUGCGGCGGUAACGUCCACCACGUAUAUCUUCAAACUUUGACCUCAAAUCAGGUAG